RNAcentral lists this ribosomal RNA (381 nucleotides) under Triticum aestivum (bread wheat). RNAcentral describes it as "partial small subunit ribosomal RNA". The record is from RNAcentral. Lineage: Eukaryota; Viridiplantae; Streptophyta; Magnoliopsida; Poales; Poaceae.
AUGGUGUCGUGGAGCGAUGAGACCAGUGAGGAUUCAGUCCUGAACAUCUCCUCCUCCUAUGAUGGCAUCAUCAAGCUUCCAGCUACGAUGCACGAUCCGUAUUUCAAUGGCACUGACGCAUAUGUGAAUGUCUUGUGUGAACACGGUGAGCCGGCCGAGCGCUUUGUAGCAUUUGAAGGGAUGCACAUGGGCAGGAGGUUUCUUGGAUGUGCUAAGAAGGAAGGCAUAAACUGUGGAGUAGUUCAAUGGAUUGAUUUUGAAUGGCCAGACUCAAUGGAGAAGGCAUUGGCCAAGCUAUGGGAUAUGUAUGAGGAGAUUAAGUCAGCUAGGACCAAUGACAAUCUAAAGAGUUCCUUUGCAAUUCACAACCUGACAGAAUAG